GAUGAACGCUGGCGGCGUGCUUAACACAUGCAAGUCGAACGGAAAGGCCCAAGCUUGCUUGGGUACUCGAGUGGCGAACGGGUGAGUAACACGUGGGUGAUCUGCCCUGCACUUCGGGAUAAGCCUGGGAAACUGGGUCUAAUACCGGAUAGGACCACUUCUUGGAUGUUGUGGUGGAAAGUUUUUUCGGGGUGGGAUGAGCUCGCGGCCUAUCAGCUUGUUGGUGGGGUAAUGGGCUAUCAAGGCGUCGACGGGUAGCCGGGCUGAGAGGGGGUACGGCCACAUUGGGAAUGGGGUAAGGCCCCGACUCCUAAGGGAGGCAGCAGUGGGGAAUAUUGCACAAUGGGCGCAAGCCUGAUGCAGCGACGCCGCGGGGGGGAUGACGGGCUUCGGGUUGGAAACUCCUUUCGCUAGGGACGAAGCGUUUUGUGACGGUACCUGGAGAAGAAGCACCGGCUAACUACGUG
This 467-nucleotide ribosomal RNA is filed under the name uncultured bacterium. Its description in RNAcentral is "partial 16S ribosomal RNA". It matches the Rfam family "Bacterial small subunit ribosomal RNA", at positions 28 to 507 of the family's 1533-position model. The record is from RNAcentral.